AACCCACCGUCGUCGCGGCCGGACUUGCGCCGCAGUUCGAGCUCGGGAAGCGGCUGUCCUGCAAGUGGACCACCGGCACAGGGCCUCGCAUCGGCUGCGUGAGGGACUACCCCGUUGACCUCCAGAUCAAGGCUCUCGAGCAAGUCAACCUCUCCCCGAGGCUCGUGCCGUCCCCGGGAUGGAGCAAGUGCCCGGUCCCUUCGCCACGUCCCAGCCCCCGCGUGAGACUGUCCCCGAGACUCGCCUACAUGGGCUUCCCCAGCCCCAGGGUCAACCUCACGCUGCCCACGCCAAAACAGAGAUGAAUGACCCGGCGGCGGCGCCGCCCUCUGGUCCGAGCAAUCGGCGAGGGAGACUGACCCACCAUUCAUUUUGAUUCGGCAUUCUUUCGGAAGGUUGUCACCUUCUUUCGGGAGGCAGACGGUGACGAAUCCAGUCUGUAGAACUUCUGUAAAUUCGGCCAGCAUUCGUCUCCUCCAGCAGAGGAAGAUC
This 492-nucleotide long non-coding RNA is filed under the name Spirodela polyrhiza (greater duckweed). RNAcentral describes it as "long non-coding RNA (SPOL_LNC000111)". The record is from RNAcentral. Lineage: Eukaryota; Viridiplantae; Streptophyta; Magnoliopsida; Alismatales; Araceae.